RNAcentral lists this ribosomal RNA (253 nucleotides) under uncultured bacterium. RNAcentral's name for it is "partial 16S ribosomal RNA". It matches the Rfam family "Bacterial small subunit ribosomal RNA", at positions 524 to 776 of the family's 1533-position model. The record is from RNAcentral.
UACGAAGGGGACUAGCGUUGUCCGGAUUUACUGGGCGUAAAGAGCGCGCAGGCGGUCGUGCAAGUCGCGUGUGAAAGCCCCCGGCUCAACUGGGGAGGGUCACGCGAUACUGUUCGACUCGAAGGCAGGAGAGGGAAGCGGAAUUCCCGGUGUAGUGGUGAAAUGCGUAGAUAUCGGGAGGAACACCAGUGGCGAAGGCGGCUUCCUGGCCUGUUCUUGACGCUGAGGCGCGAAAGCUAGGGUAGCAAACGGG